ACUUAUAAAAUUAACCAUAGCCAAUAUAAAACAUACAAACUUAAUAAUAAUUCUAAUGUGACAGGAGUAAAGCUUCAUUUAGAAUCUUACAUAAUGAAUGGUUUUCAUUCGAUAGUAGUCAUUUCAGAAUAAUAUUUU
Molecule: long non-coding RNA, 138 nt
Organism: Harmonia axyridis
Lineage: Eukaryota; Metazoa; Arthropoda; Insecta; Coleoptera; Coccinellidae
Exons: 2
Source: RefSeq, a predicted model, not a curated record